Molecule: non-coding RNA, 74 nt
Organism: Larimichthys crocea (large yellow croaker)
Lineage: Eukaryota; Metazoa; Chordata; Actinopteri; Sciaenidae
Source: Rfam
GGUGCUGUAGCUUAGUUGGUCAAAGCGCCUGUCUUGUAAACAGGAGAUCCUGGGUUCAAAUCCCAGCAGUGCCU